RNAcentral lists this transfer RNA (73 nucleotides) under Stegodyphus mimosarum. It matches the Rfam family "tRNA". From Rfam's summary of the family: Transfer RNA (tRNA) molecules are approximately 80 nucleotides in length. Their secondary structure includes four short double-helical elements and three loops (D, anti-codon, and T loops). Lineage: Eukaryota; Metazoa; Arthropoda; Arachnida; Araneae; Eresidae. The record is from Rfam by way of RNAcentral.
GCCUUCGUGGUGUAGUGGUCAGCACACUCGGCGCGUAUUCGAGAGGUCCGUGGUUCGAGUCCCGGAGAGGGCA